RNAcentral lists this ribosomal RNA (1326 nucleotides) under metagenome. RNAcentral's name for it is "bacterial LSU rRNA". It matches the Rfam family "Bacterial large subunit ribosomal RNA", at positions 1561 to 2925 of the family's 2925-position model. The record is from RNAcentral.
AGUGGAUGGGGAGCAACCUAGUUGUGCGUGUGUAAAGGUAGUGCCAAGAAAAGCGAUGAUCAUGUUGAAAAUCAAUUCCCGGUACCCGAAACCGACACAGGUGGGCAAGUAGAGAAUACUAAGGGGCGCGAGGUAACUCUCUCCAAGGAACUCGGCAAAAUGACCCCGUAACUUAGGGAGAAGGGGUGCCACCGAGAGGUGGUCGCAGUGAAGAGGCCCAGGCGACUGUUUAGCAAAAACAUAGGUCUCUGCAAACUCGAAAGAGGAGGUAUAGGGGCUGACGCCUGCCCAGUGCCGGAAGGUUAAAGAAGUUGGUCAGUCUUAGGAUGAAGCUAGCGACUGAAGCCCCGGUGAACGGCGGCCGUAACUAUAACGGUCCUAAGGUAGCGAAAUUCCUUGUCGGGUAAGUUCCGACCCGCACGAAAGGCGUAACGAUCUGGGCGCUGUCUCGGAGAGAGGCUCGGCGAAAUAGGAUUGUCUGUGAAGAUACGGACUACCUGCAUUUGGACAGAAAGACCCUAUGAAGCUUUACUAUAGCUUGGAAUUGUGUUCGGGCUUCCUGUGCGCAGGAUAGGUGGGAGGCGUAGAAGGUAUUCUUGUGGGGAUACUGGAGCCAACGGUGAGAUACCACUCUCAGGAGGCUAGAAUUCUAACUUAAUUAAGGACAGUUUCAGGUGGGUAGUUUGACUGGGGCGGUCGCCUCCAAAAAGGUAACGGAGGCGUACAAAGGUUCCCUCAGACUGGUUGGAAAUCAGUCGAAGAGUGCAAAGGCAGAAGGGAGCUUGACUGCGAGAAGUACAGUUCGAGCAGGGUGGAAACACGGUCUUAGUGAUCCGACGGUGCUGUGUGGAAGGGCCGUCGCUCAACGGAUAAAAGUUACUCUAGGAUAACAGGCUGAUCUCCCCCAAGAGUUCACAUCGACGGGGAGGUUUGGCACCUCGAUGUCGGCUCAUCGCAACCUGGGGCGGAAGUACGUCCCAAGGGUUGGGCUGUUCGCCCAUUAAAGCGGUACGUGAGCUGGGUUCAGAACGUCGUGAGACAGUUCGGUCCAUAUCCGAUGUAGGCGUGAGAAUAUUGAGAGGAGCCUUCCUUAGUACGAGAGGACCGGGAAGGACGCACCGCUGGUGUACCUGUUAUGAUGCCAAUUGUAAACGCAGGGUAGCCAAGUGCGGAGAGGAUAACCGCUGAAAGCAUCUAAGUGGGAAGCCCACCUCAAGAUGAGUAUUCUGGUGUAAGGUCACGGGAAGACGACCCGUAAAUAGGCACGAGGUGGAAGUGCAGAGAUGUAUGAAGCCGAAGUGUACUAAUAGACCGUCGGCUUGACCG